This 1273-nucleotide long non-coding RNA is filed under the name Equus asinus (donkey). RNAcentral describes it as "lncRNA (ENSEASG00005030917.1)". Lineage: Eukaryota; Metazoa; Chordata; Mammalia; Perissodactyla; Equidae. The record is from RNAcentral.
CUUUACUGUGUGUUUUGUUUUGGCACCUUCUCCAUAAAAAAGGCAACUGACUCCCAUCCUGAACCCCUCACUGCACCUGUGACAUGGAAAGCUCUUUACAGAUGUCACGUUAAUUAAUCUGCAACUUUACCUGGCUGCACAACCGGUACCUGCAGCCCUCCUGCCAAAGCGAGGCUCCUUCCUGGCCCCAGCGUUCCCAGAGUCUACUUUCUGUCUUCCUUCAGGAUGGUCCCUUUGCAAAGAAUGUAUGCUGGUUUACCCAUUUAACCUGCUCUUCAAGUCCCAGCUGGACUUUCCUGACCCUUCAAGAUGGCAGCCUUCAUCUCUGGUGAGGCUAUGCUUCACUCAGCAGCUUCCCACACUUCCUCCAGCUUGCCUUGCUCCUCCAGUGUCUCCCAUCGCCGUCAGCACAUUCUUUGUCCUUGCCUUCCAUACCAGUCUUCAUCUGGGACCUCUUCCACCCCUCCCAGGCCAGCUGUGUAUAAGCUGAAAAGCAUACAAACACGUAUACCUCAGGGUGGAUGCAGAUAAGAGAAGAAACUGUCAACAGAGGUACUGCAGAAAGCACAAAUAACAGGGAAAGAUAAGUCUCUGUCAUCUUCCUGCGCUUCAGAUGUGGGUGUCCAGAGGCCUGCAGCCGUUUCCUCAUUAUGUCCCCUGAUGCCACGAACUGCAUGUGUCUGAAUUUGAACUCAUCAUCCUCUUGCUCUCUCUCCUCCUGUUCUACAUGACUCCACCGCUGACUCAGAAGGCCAGAGACCAAUGAGUCAUCCUAGACUCCUUCCUUUCCCUCACCUCUACCCCUACCCGCUCCAUGUCCAGUCAUCACCGAGUUCUGCCAACUUUCAGUCCUAAAUGUCUUAUAAAUCUCUCUCUUCAACCCAGUCUCCUGCCAUUGACAACUCACAACUCUAUGGCAGGCCAAGAUUGUUUUCAAUUCCCUGUGGCUGUGCAGGUGCUGUUCACUGUGCCUACAAGCCCCUGCCUCAACCCCCACUUUUUGCCUGGCUUCGUCCUACUCUCUCACCAAGCCUCGGCUCAGACCUCACCUCCUCAGGGGAGCCCACCUGGACUAAAGGUGCAUGUUCCCCCUCCCUCCCCAGGAGCAUCUAGCGGUACUCUCUUCCAGGCUCCUACUCCUCUAGAAUGCCCAUUUCCCACCCAGUGUGGGAAUGGUCAGUUUAGAUACCUGCCUCCUCCUGGACUGGCCACUCCUCCAGGACAGAGCCCAGACGUGGCUGAAGUUGUCCUUGCCUAAUUUGAGGGAGGCAGG